This is a long non-coding RNA of Aethalodelphis obliquidens (Pacific white-sided dolphin), 442 nucleotides long. RefSeq lists it as uncharacterized. NCBI's taxonomy places the organism in Eukaryota, Metazoa, Chordata, Mammalia, Artiodactyla, Delphinidae. The transcript has 2 exons. The record is from RefSeq and is a predicted model, not a curated record.
CUGCAACCAAAUCCAGUGUGUCUUCAUUCUAGCCUAGAUGUCACCAUCUCCUCAGAAGGGGCUGGGAGUGAAGUUGAACUAGGGCUGAUAGUACUUGCAGUUCCCCAGGUGACCACCAGAUGGCUGUGAGGGCUCACCUCCAGGAUUGCUCUGGCUGCUGAGUGGGGAACAGACUGGAGGUGGGGAGCAGAAGCAGAAGCCCUACCAGGAGGCCACUGCAGUCACCAAGGCAAGAUAUGGUGAGGGGAUGAGGGCUUCGGUGCGGGAAAGCAGAUGGAUUUGGAUCCACCACCUGGGACAAGUGCCACAGCAGCUCAGCCUUGCUCCACGACAGUCACAGAGGGCUUCCUGCAGGCGGUGCCCAUUUUGCAUUGUCCUGAAGGAUUAGUCUGCCAGACACAUGUAGUCAGGAGAGGAGGAGGACCCUCCAGGAGAGAGAACA